UUGCUGCCCUACUUGGGCAUCUCCUCCCUGAACUUCGGGCCGCUCUUGAGAGCGGCCUUUUUCU
Molecule: small RNA, 64 nt
Filed under: Microvirga massiliensis
Lineage: Bacteria; Pseudomonadati; Pseudomonadota; Alphaproteobacteria; Hyphomicrobiales; Methylobacteriaceae
Description: Makes More Granules Regulator RNA (mmgR)
Rfam family: Makes More Granules Regulator RNA (mmgR)
About the family: SuhB later renamed mmgR (makes more granules regulator) was a putative non-coding RNA found multiple times in the Agrobacterium tumefaciens genome and related alpha-proteobacteria. Other non-coding RNAs uncovered in the same analysis include: speF, ybhL, metA, and serC. Several studies inSinorhizobium meliloti showed that suhB element is indeed a non-coding RNA:firstly it was detected on Northern blot and called Sm8RNA, secondly in an RNAseq study referred to as SmelC689.
Source: RNAcentral